Molecule: ribosomal RNA, 406 nt
Filed under: uncultured bacterium
Lineage: Bacteria
Description: bacterial SSU rRNA
Rfam family: Bacterial small subunit ribosomal RNA
Source: RNAcentral
AGAGUUUGAUCCUGGCUCAGAUUGAACGCUGGCGGAAUGCUUUACACAUGCAAGUCGAACGGCAGCACGGGAGCUUGCUCCUGGUGGCGAGUGGCGAACGGGUGAGUAAUACAUAGGAACAUACCCAGUAAUGGGGGAUAACGCCGAGAAAUCGGUGCUAAUACCGCAUACGCCCUACGGGGGAAAGCGGGGGAUCUUCGGACCUCGCGUUAUUGGAUUGGCCUAUGUCUGAUUAGCUAGUUGGUGAGGUAAAGGCUCACCAAGGCGACGAUCAGUAGCUGGUCUGAGAGGAUGAUCAGCCACACUGGAACUGAGACACGGUCCAGACUCCUACGGGAGGCAGCAGUGGGGAAUUUUGGACAAUGGGCGAAAGCCUGAUCCAGCCAUUCCGCGUGAGUGAAGAAGG